UUCCCUCCUUGGGAACUGUGGUACCAUCCAUUCAUCUCAUAUUAUGGUUGUUCUUUUUCCUGGUGCAUCAUGGUCCACACAAAGAUCUUCCUGCGUGUGUAUCCAUCUCAUAAUACAAAUUAUAGCUGUCAUUUUGUGGUUGUCGUCAGGUUGUGAAUAGAACGACAGGACCCAAUAGAUUGGGAAAUGCACCCAGGAAAGACUUCAAGAAGCACUGUAUGCGUUUGGAACCACCAUGGAGCUCUCUCAGCCACCUCUCCAGCACCAUGUCUGCCUGCAGGCCACCAUGUUUCCCACCAUGUUGACAGUGGACUAAACCUCUGAAUUGUUAACGAGCAGUUAUUGUCCUCAUCGCUUCUCACAGAGACCCAGC
Long non-coding RNA from Alexandromys fortis (reed vole), 373 nucleotides. RefSeq lists it as uncharacterized. The record is from RefSeq and is a predicted model, not a curated record. The transcript is spliced from 3 exons. NCBI's taxonomy places the organism in Eukaryota, Metazoa, Chordata, Mammalia, Rodentia, Cricetidae.